AUAACGGUCCUAAGGUAGCGAAAUUCCUUGUCGGGUAAGUUCCGACCUGCACGAAAGGCGCAACGACUUGGGCGCUGUCUCGACCAUGGACCCGGUGAAAUUGCACUGGUCGUGAAGAUGCGACUUACCCGCGGAAGGACGGAAAGACCCCGUGAACCUUCACUGCAGCUUGGCAUUGGCCGCUGGUCCCGCGUGUAGAGGAUAGGCAGGAGGCACAGAUCCGGAGGCGCCAGCCCCCGGGGAGCCGCCCUUGGAAUACUGCCCUCGCGCGACCGGCGUCCUAACCCGAGGCCGUCAACCGGCUCGGGGACCGUGCCAGGCGGGCAGUUUGACUGGGGCGGUCGCCUCCUAAAGGGUAACGGAGGCGCGCGAAGGUCCGCUCGGGACGGUCGGCAACCGUCCUUUUGAAUGCAAGAGUACAAGCGGGCUUGACUGCGAGGCCCACAAGCCGAGCAGGUGCGAAAGCAGGCUCUAGUGAUCCGGCGGCCCCGAGUGGGUGGGCCGUCGCUCAACGGAUAAAAGGUACUCCGGGGAUAACAGGCUGAUCUUGCCCAAGAGUCCACAUCGACGGCAAGGUUUGGCACCUCGAUGUCGGCUCAUCGCAUCCUGGGGCUGGAGAAGGUCCCAAGGGUUGGGCUGUUCGCCCAUUAAAGCGGUACGCGAGCUGGGUUCAGAACGUCGUGAGACAGUUCGGUCCCUAUCCUCCGUGGGCGCAGGAGAAUCGAUGGAGGCUGCCCCCAGUACGAGAGGACCGGGGUGGACGCACCUCCGGUGAACCGGUUGUCGACCAACGGCACGGCCGGGUAGCCGCGUGCGGCGCGGAUAACCGCUGAAGGCAUCUAAGCGGGAAGCCGUUCCAGGGAUUAGUUCUCCUUCCGGUAAGGGCCCAGGUAGACUACCUGGUCGAUAGACGGCAGGUGCAAGGCUGGCGACAGCCUCAGCCGAGCCGCACUAAUCGCCCGAGCUCUUCCGGAA
This 975-nucleotide ribosomal RNA is filed under the name human gut metagenome. RNAcentral's name for it is "bacterial LSU rRNA". It matches the Rfam family "Bacterial large subunit ribosomal RNA", at positions 1942 to 2925 of the family's 2925-position model. The record is from RNAcentral.